This 440-nucleotide ribosomal RNA is filed under the name uncultured bacterium. RNAcentral describes it as "partial 16S ribosomal RNA". It matches the Rfam family "Bacterial small subunit ribosomal RNA", at positions 338 to 795 of the family's 1533-position model. The record is from RNAcentral.
CCUACGGGUGGCAGCAGUGGGGGAUAUUGCACAAUGGGGAGAACCCUGAUGCAGCGACGCCGCGUGGGUGAAGAAGCGCCUCGGCGCGUAAAGCCCUGUCAGCAGGGAAGAAAAUGACGGUACGUGAAGAAGAAGCCCCGGCUAACUACAUUCCAGCAGCCGCGGUAAUACGUAGGGGGCAAGCGUUAUCCGGAUUUACUGGGUGUAAAGGGGGCGCAGACGGCGAUGCAAGCGCGGAGGGAAAGCCCGGGGCCCAACCCCGGGACUGCGCUUGGAACUGCGUGGCUGGAGUGCAGGAGGGGCAGGAGGAAUUCGUGGUGUAGCGGUGAAAUGCGUAGAUAUCAGGAGGAACACCGGUGGCGAAGGCGGCCUGCUGGACUGCAACUGACGUGGAGGCCCGAAAGCGUGGGGAGCAAACAGGAUUAGAUACCCUGGUAGUC